Molecule: ribosomal RNA, 464 nt
Filed under: uncultured Glomus
Lineage: Eukaryota; Fungi; Glomeromycota; Glomeromycetes; Glomerales; Glomeraceae
Description: SSU rRNA
Rfam family: Eukaryotic small subunit ribosomal RNA
Source: RNAcentral
AGCAGCCGCGGUAAUUCCAGCUCCAAUAGCGUAUAUUAAAGUUGUUGCAGUUAAAAAGCUCGUAGUUGAAUUUCGGGACCAGUAUGUUGGUCGUGCUUCGGUACGUACUGUCAUUACUGGUUUCUCCCUUCUGAAGGACCUUGAUGUCAUUAAUUUGGUGUCUUGGGGAAUCAGGACUGUUACUUUGAAAAAUUAGAGUGUUUAAAGCAGGCAUACGCUUGAAUACAUUAGCAUGGAAUAAUGGAAUAGGACGUUUGAUUCUAUUUUGUUGGUUUCUAGGAUCGACGUAAUGAUUAAUAGGGAUAGUUGGGGCAUUAGUAUUCAAUUGUCAGAGGUGAAAUUCUUGGAUUUAUGAAGACUAACUACUGCGAAAGCAUUUGCCAAGGAUGUUUUCUAUUAAUCAAGAACGAAAGUUAGGGGAUCGAAGACGAUCAGAUACCGUCGUAGUCUUAACCAUAAACUAU